Molecule: non-coding RNA, 22 nt
Filed under: Arabidopsis thaliana (thale cress)
Lineage: Eukaryota; Viridiplantae; Streptophyta; Magnoliopsida; Brassicales; Brassicaceae
Source: RNAcentral
AUGGAUCGAUGAUGCCAUAUUC